GACGAACGCUGGCGGCGUGCCUAAUACAUGCAAGUUGAGCGCUGAAGGUUGGUACUUGUACCGACUGGAUGAGCAGCGAACGGGUGAGUAACGCGUGGGGAAUCUGCCUUUGAGCGGGGGACAACAUUUGGAAACGAAUGCUAAUACCGCAUAAAAACUUUAAACACAAGUUUUAAGUUUGAAAGAUGCAAUUGCAUCACUCAAAGAUGAUCCCGCGUUGUAUUAGCUAGUUGGUGAGGUAAAGGCUCACCAAGGCGAUGAUACAUAGCCGACCUGAGAGGGGGGUCGGCCACAUUGGGACUGACACAGGGCCCAAACCCCUACGGGGGGCAGCAGUGGGGAAUUUUCGGCAAUGGACGAAAGUCUGACCGAGCAACGCCGCGGGAGUGAAGAAGGUGUUGGGAUCGUAAAACUCUGUUGGUAGAGAAAAACGUGGGGGGGGGGGGAAAGCUCAUAAAGUGACGGUAACUACCCAAAAAGGGACGGCUAACUACGU
This 496-nucleotide ribosomal RNA is filed under the name uncultured bacterium. Its description in RNAcentral is "partial 16S ribosomal RNA". It matches the Rfam family "Bacterial small subunit ribosomal RNA", at positions 28 to 506 of the family's 1533-position model. The record is from RNAcentral.